CACAUUUACAGCAAUCUGUGUGCUGGACAG
Molecule: non-coding RNA, 30 nt
Filed under: Cricetulus griseus (Chinese hamster)
Lineage: Eukaryota; Metazoa; Chordata; Mammalia; Rodentia; Cricetidae
Source: RNAcentral